UACGCAGGGUGCAAACGUUGCUCGGAAUUAUUGGGCGUAAAGCGCACGUAGGCGGCUUAGCAAGUUGGAUGUGAAAUCCCUCGGCUCAACCAAGGAAGUGCAUCCAAAACUGCUGAGCUUGAGUACUUAAGAGGAUCGCGGAAUUCCCGGUGUAGAGGUGAAAUUCGUAGAUAUCAAGAGGAAUACCGGAGGCGAAGGCGGAUAGCUGGGCCAACAUUGACGCUGAGACCCGAAAGCGUGGGGAUCAAACAGG
RNAcentral lists this ribosomal RNA (253 nucleotides) under uncultured bacterium. Its description in RNAcentral is "partial 16S ribosomal RNA". It matches the Rfam family "Bacterial small subunit ribosomal RNA", at positions 524 to 776 of the family's 1533-position model. The record is from RNAcentral.